UACGGGGGGGGCAAGCGUUGUUCGGAAUUACUGGGCGUAAAGGGCUCGUAGGUGGCCAACUCAGUCAGACGUGAAAUCCCUCGGCUUAACCGGGGAACUGCGUCUGAUACUGGAUGGCUUGAGGUUGGGAGAGGGAUGCGGAAUUCCAGGUGUAGCGGUGAAAUGCGUAGAUAUCUGGAGGAACACCGGUGGCGAAGGCGGCAUGCUGGACCAAUUCUGACACUGAGGAGCGAAAGCCAGGGGAGCAAACAGG
RNAcentral lists this ribosomal RNA (253 nucleotides) under uncultured bacterium. RNAcentral describes it as "partial 16S ribosomal RNA". It matches the Rfam family "Bacterial small subunit ribosomal RNA", at positions 524 to 776 of the family's 1533-position model. The record is from RNAcentral.